AGUUGGGAUUGGUUAGUGUAAAGAGAUACAAUGAUAACAAGUGGGCAACAAUCUCGAACAAGGAGAAUCUACUUCACAGGAUCAGCGAUUUACCAGGAAUGUACCUAAGGAUUCUCAGAACAAUGUUGUCUGGAUUAAACUGCGCAAAAGUUUUGGCGUGGUGAUGAUAGAAGACUUAAUGUUGGCCGACAUGUUUGUGGAUCCAGUGAGUUUUCUUAAAUUAUAACUACAAGAUCUAGUUAAUAUAAGAAAUUAUUGUUCUUCAUUUGAAGAUCACUGAAUGUUAUACUGUAUUUAUAUAUGUGCAGAACAAGUGGAUGCAGACAUGCAGUGCUUUCCUACUAUAUCCUUACUUGGAACCAAUCUCACAUCGUCAUGAACGAUGAUAUCUUGGUUUGGUGACAUUUUUGGGAUGACUUGGGAAAACAGUACUACUUCGAAUACGGUUGGACAUGAUAGUCUUCUUGUUGGUAUUGAUUUUGUAAUUUUACUCACUGUUUUGUUUUAUCGAUUCAGCUUAUGGAAAGCGAUAUUUACACAUAGGACAAACUGUCGACUUAUGCAACAAACUAGGGUCAAAUUCUCAACUUAUGCAACAAAGAAAAUUAGGUUUAAAAUUAUCAUCAAACUAUUAAGUUAUACCAAUUUAUGCAAUUCCGUCAACGGAGUUCUAACAGACGUUAAUAUUUGCUGACUGUAUUAAUUAUUUUUUUUCCUGACUGUGUAUAUUUGUUAUAAGAGUGAUGAUCUGGGAUGAACGAUGGUAAUUAACUUAAUCAAAUGUGAAUAUGAGACCCAAAUCAAAAGUUUAAGAUACAAAUGUGUGUAGUCCAAAUAAUCUCCCC
RNAcentral lists this long non-coding RNA (845 nucleotides) under Aquilegia coerulea. RNAcentral's name for it is "long non-coding RNA (ACOE_LNC001894)". Lineage: Eukaryota; Viridiplantae; Streptophyta; Magnoliopsida; Ranunculales; Ranunculaceae. The record is from RNAcentral.